This 1457-nucleotide unclassified non-coding RNA is filed under the name Hevea brasiliensis (rubber tree). The record is from RNAcentral. Lineage: Eukaryota; Viridiplantae; Streptophyta; Magnoliopsida; Malpighiales; Euphorbiaceae.
UUUUUUUUUUUUUUUUUGUUUUUGCCCCCUUUCUUUUUGGGUAACUUUGAUUCGGAUAAGCAAAGUUAGGAAGCAUAUCUUUCUCAUUGAUCAAUCUCUUUUGGCAUGUACCUUGAGGACUGUGAAAUGGUCAUGAUCUAAGAAAGCUUUCAGGGAUAAAACAGUUUGAAAGGAACAUGAAAUAAGCUUUUGAGCCAUUUGAUAAAUUUUAUUUUCGUCUCAAAUAAUUUCAGCUAUAUGGUAUGUGCUAGUAGAUUAUUAACAAGGAAACUAACAAAAAUAAAAUUCCACCUCAUUUUGCAGUAGCCAUGUCAAGGAGGCAUCUAAACCAUCUGUUCUUAAUAUCCCAUUUUCUAAAAUUUAAAAGAAAGAAAAAGAAAAGGAGAAAAGAAGCUGAAAAUCUGCAGAUAAUGUGUACACCUUAUAUUCUUGACGUGAUAAGGCUAUGGAUGGUUGAGACUUGAGAGAGAGAUUGUCACAGCUAAAGAACUAAACACUAUUGUAUUCACCUAUAAACAACAGUUGACAAAGCAUCAAAACAGGGUGGUACCCCUGUUACUUAAAGUUUGAACUGAUCUUGUUUAUUCAGAACUUUCAAAAAGCAUAAGUUCUGCUCUCUGGUGAAUCUGCAAUUUUCAAGGUUUCUUCAAUGAGCUUCCUGGCCUUCCUGCUUCUUAUCUCAACUCGCAUACUCUCACUUUUUUCUAUCUUAUCGUACGGUUUCUUCAUCUUAAGAGACCUUAUCUUUGAUUUCAAGGUUACCACCAACCUCUCCAAUCCCAUCAUCACCAUGGUUUAAAAAAAAGAAAAAACCUGCUAAAAGAAUAUAAACAAGUCAGGAUUAGUAACUCAUAGGCAAAGCUAAAUCUUAGAGAAAAGGAGAGAGACAGAAACCUUAUUGGGAGAUUGAGCGUGAGAAAUGAUAAUGUUAUGCAAGAUGCAAGAAGAGAAGUUGAAGUUGGGAAUAAAACUGCAAGGACUUUUAUGGAGCUUCUCAGGACAGAGCUGCUAGAAAGAGAAGAGUUAGGAAAAGGUUUGAGAAGAAGAAAGCAAGUAAGAGAGAUGAUACCAAUGAAUUUAACGGUUGCAAGUCACAUAGAAAGCAUUAUGGCUGCGCAUCCUGAGUUGAUUCAGUUCAAUUUGCUGAAAGGAUAUUACUUAUUUGACAGACGAGAUUCGAGCCUUACUCUCUCAAUCCGUGUUAAAAAAUAAAAGGCAUCAAAGUUACAUUUGGUAAGGCAGACCUCAAGAAGUAAGCCCUUCUGAGACUCAUGUGGAGAACAUGUAUAAGUUAAUUCUAUUAUUUACAUAUACAUAUGGAUAUAGUACAUUCCCUUUUUUUUUAUUGCAUAAAUGCCCUCCAGAAAGAAUGUGUUUAUGUGGAUUUAUAUUUGUUUUAUUUGACGUCUCUAUGUAACAUUUUCUGUACAUAAAGUAUUGUUUCAUGAACUAUGAAG